This 440-nucleotide ribosomal RNA is filed under the name uncultured bacterium. Its description in RNAcentral is "partial 16S ribosomal RNA". It matches the Rfam family "Bacterial small subunit ribosomal RNA", at positions 338 to 795 of the family's 1533-position model. The record is from RNAcentral.
CCUACGGGUGGCAGCAGUGGGGGAUAUUGCACAAUGGGGGAAACACUGAUGCAGCGACGCCGCGUGAGUGAAGAAGUAUUUCGGUAUGUAAAGCUCUAUCAGCAGGGAAGAAAAUGACAGUACCUGACCCCGAAGCACCGGCUAAGUACGUACCAGACGCAGCGGUCAUACGCAGGGGGCAAGCGUUAUCCGGAUUUACUGGGUGUAAAGGGAGCGUAGACGGGUAUGUAAGUAUAGAGUGAAAGCCCGGGGCCCAACCCCGGUACUGUUGUGGAAACUGGGUCACUGGAGUACAGGAGGGGCAUGCGGAAUGCCUGGUGUAGCGGUGAAAUGCGUAGAUAUCAGGAGGAACACCGAUGGCGAAGGCGGCAUGCUGGACUGAAACUGACGUUGAGGCUCGAAAGCGUGGGGAGCAAACAGGAUUAGAUACCCCUGUAGUC